Molecule: ribosomal RNA, 794 nt
Filed under: Staphylococcus aureus
Lineage: Bacteria; Bacillati; Bacillota; Bacilli; Caryophanales; Staphylococcaceae
Description: bacterial SSU rRNA
Rfam family: Bacterial small subunit ribosomal RNA
Source: RNAcentral
UUUUGCCCCCCGGUUCUUAGAGUUGUGGAACAGGCUCAGGAUGAACGCUGGCGGCGUGCCUAAUACAUGCAAGUCGAGCGAACGGACGAGAAGCUUGCUUCUCUGAUGUUAGCGGCGGACGGGUGAGUAACACGUGGAUAACCUACCUAUAAGACUGGGAUAACUUCGGGAAACCGGAGCUAAUACCGGAUAAUAUUUUGAACCGCAUGGUUCAAAAGUGAAAGACGGUCUUGCUGUCACUUAUAGAUGGAUCCGCGCUGCAUUAGCUAGUUGGUAAGGUAACGGCUUACCAAGGCAACGAUGCAUAGCCGACCUGAGAGGGUGAUCGGCCACACUGGAACUGAGACACGGUCCAGACUCCUACGGGAGGCAGCAGUAGGGAAUCUUCCGCAAUGGGCGAAAGCCUGACGGAGCAACGCCGCGUGAGUGAUGAAGGUCUUCGGAUCGUAAAACUCUGUUAUUAGGGAAGAACAUAUGUGUAAGUAACUGUGCACAUCUUGACGGUACCUAAUCAGAAAGCCACGGCUAACUACGUGCCAGCAGCCGCGGUAAUACGUAGGUGGCAAGCGUUAUCCGGAAUUAUUGGGCGUAAAGCGCGCGUAGGCGGUUUUUUAAGUCUGAUGUGAAAGCCCACGGCUCAACCGUGGAGGGUCAUUGGAAACUGGAAAACUUGAGUGCAGAAGAGGAAAGUGGAAUUCCAUGUGUAGCGGUGAAAUGCGCAGAGAUAUGGAGGAACACCAGUGGCGAAGGCGACUUUCUGGUCUGUAACUGACGCAUGAUGGCGAAAGAAGGCC